CAGUCAUUACCAAGGCUUUUAGAAUCCGGUUUCUGAAUUGCUGUGGGCAUGACCUUGGACAAAAUGCCCCACCGGGUUUGUCUUCUGCUAUCUUGCUAGCAUCCAACAAAUGGGGGAGGGGU
Small nucleolar RNA from Sorex fumeus (smoky shrew), 122 nucleotides. RefSeq annotates it as small nucleolar RNA SNORA32. Lineage: Eukaryota; Metazoa; Chordata; Mammalia; Eulipotyphla; Soricidae. The record is from RefSeq and is a predicted model, not a curated record. The transcript has a single exon.